UGUGAUAAAAUGCUCUGACCAGAAACACCU
RNAcentral lists this non-coding RNA (30 nucleotides) under Mus musculus (house mouse). RNAcentral also lists the same sequence under 1 other name. The record is from RNAcentral. Lineage: Eukaryota; Metazoa; Chordata; Mammalia; Rodentia; Muridae.